This 968-nucleotide ribosomal RNA is filed under the name human gut metagenome. RNAcentral describes it as "bacterial LSU rRNA". It matches the Rfam family "Bacterial large subunit ribosomal RNA", at positions 1955 to 2925 of the family's 2925-position model. The record is from RNAcentral.
GGUAGCGAAAUUCCUUGUCGGGUAAGUUCCGACCCGCACGAAAGGCGUAACGAUUUGGGCACUGUCUCAACGAGAGACUCGGUGAAAUCAUAGUACCUGUGAAGAUGCAGGUUACCCGCGACAGGACGGAAAGACCCCGUGGAGCUUUACUGUAGCCUGAUAUUGAAAUUCGGCACAGCUUGUACAGGAUAGGUAGGAGCCUUUGAAACGUGAGCGCUAGCUUACGUGGAGGCGCUGGUGGGAUACUACCCUAGCUGUGUUGGCUUUCUAACCCGCACCACUUAUCGUGGUGGGAGACAGUGUCAGGCGGGCAGUUUGACUGGGGCGGUCGCCUCCUAAAAGGUAACGGAGGCGCUCAAAGGUUCCCUCAGAAUGGUUGGAAAUCAUUCAUAGAGUGUAAAGGCAUAAGGGAGCUUGACUGCGAGACCUACAAGUCGAGCAGGGUCGAAAGACGGACUUAGUGAUCCGGUGGUUCCGCAUGGAAGGGCCAUCGCUCAACGGAUAAAAGCUACCCCGGGGAUAACAGGCUUAUCUCCCCCAAGAGUUCACAUCGACGGGGAGGUUUGGCACCUCGAUGUCGGCUCAUCGCAUCCUGGGGCUGUAGUCGGUCCCAAGGGUUGGGCUGUUCGCCCAUUAAAGCGGUACGCGAGCUGGGUUCAGAACGUCGUGAGACAGUUCGGUCCCUAUCCGUCGUGGGCGUAGGAAAUUUGAGAGGAGCUGUCCUUAGUACGAGAGGACCGGGAUGGACAUACCUCUGGUGUACCAGUUGUCGUGCCAACGGCAUAGCUGGGUAGCUAUGUGUGGACGGGAUAAGUGCUGAAAGCAUCUAAGCAUGAAGCCCCCCUCAAGAUGAGAUUUCCCAACUUCGGUUAUAAGAUCCCUCAAAGAUGAUGAGGUUAAUAGGUUCGAUGUGGAAGCAUGGUGACAUGUGGAGCUGACGAAUACUAAUCGAUCGAAGACUUAAUCAA